Molecule: long non-coding RNA, 872 nt
Filed under: Anas platyrhynchos platyrhynchos (common mallard)
Lineage: Eukaryota; Metazoa; Chordata; Aves; Anseriformes; Anatidae
Description: lncRNA (ENSAPLG00000018465.1)
Source: RNAcentral
UGAUUUCUCCCCGUUUCCAGGCCUUGUUGGUCAGACUGUUGGCUCCUGGUUGCUGUGUGAGCCUCUGCCUGACCUCUUUGCUCCCUGGUGCUUGGCACAAGCAGGAGAGGUUGGCUGGCAGAUUGUACAGCCCCAGCCCUUUGUUAAAUUUCCUCUGGAGAAGAAUGAGGUGCAAUUAAGGCCAAUUCUUCAUUAGGAGGAAUGAAGAGCUGAACCGUAACCACUCAGCCCCCUCACAGCAUCCAAACAGAGCUUGGAAAGUGGGGCCAGGCCUCUGCCACCCUUGCCUCCGUCCUCCAGCCCCUGUGCUCAGCAGACUGAGAGCCAAGGACAUGUACCCUCUCCAGGGCUGUCAACCGACCAGUGACAGGAAGCAGGUCUAAAGGCUCAUUUAACUGCAAAACAGCACCUGUCUUUUUAGGCGAGAGCAGGCUUUGCUUGUCAACCCUGUCAGCAGCACGGGCCUUGCCUGGAGGCACCCGAUUGUGUCAGAGGGGUCACACUGAGCACUGCGACACGCAGCACUGGCUGGCAUGGGGGCAGGAGGCUGUCGGCACGUUUUCUCUGCAAGGACAGCGGGUGACUGUUCCUAUUAAAAUAACCAUGUUCAGAAGAAGAGUCUGAAACUCGUAAAUAAUGGGAAGUGCUAAUAGUAAGCAGACUGCUGUAAAAUGUGCUGGGGCUUUGACUUAAAGGAAGAAAGCACAGCACUGUACUGCCCCUGAUCAGGAAGCUGGAGCACCAAAGGUAAGGGGGAGGCAUAUGGGCACUUUUUAAAACCUGGAAAUGGUGACGAAUGAUGGUGUCUGAGUGUGUGAAUGUGUAACUGAUCAGAUGAGAAAAAUAAAACAGCAUUUUUAUAUUUUUCUUCA